This 927-nucleotide ribosomal RNA is filed under the name uncultured archaeon. RNAcentral describes it as "bacterial SSU rRNA". It matches the Rfam family "Archaeal small subunit ribosomal RNA", at positions 1 to 899 of the family's 1478-position model. The record is from RNAcentral.
UUCCGGUUGAUCCUGCCGGACCCCACUGCUAUCGAGGUGGGACUAAUCCAUGCUAGUCGAACGACCCCGGACUAUGGCGGGGAAGUGGCAUACUGCUCAGUAACACGUAGCUAACCUAACCUCGGGACGGGCACAACCCCGGGAAACUGGGGCUAAUACCCGAUAAGCGUGGAAUCCUGGAAUGGAUCCACGCCCAAAGGUCAGCGCGCCCAUGUCGUGCGCGCACGCCCGAGGAUGGGGCUGCGGCCGAUCAGGCUGUUGGUGAGGUAAAGGCUCACCAAACCUUUGACCGGUACGGGCCAUGAGAGUGGUAGCCCGGAGAUGGGCACUGAGACAAGGGCCCAGGCCCUACGGGGCGCAGCAGGGGCGAAACCUCCACAAUUCACGAAAGUGAGAUGGGGUUACCUCGAGUGCCAUCUGAAGAAGGUGGCUUUUCCAUGGUGUAAUGAGCCGUGGGAAUAAGGGGGGGCAAGACUGGUGUCAGCCGCCGCGGUAACACCAGCCCCCCGAGUGGUGGGGAUGUUUAUUUGGCCUAAAGCGUCCGUAGCCGGCCCGGUAAAUCUCUCGUUAAAUCCAGCGUCCUAAGCGUUGGGCUGCGAGUGAAACUGCCAGGCUAGAGGGUGGGAGAGGUCAGCGAUAUUUCUGGGGUACGUGCGAAAUCCAUUGAUCCCAGGAGGACCACCAGUGGCGAAGGCUGCUGACUAGAACACGCGUGACGGUCAAGGACGAAAGCUGGAGGUAUCGCAUCGGAUUACAUAUCCGAGUAGUCCCAGCCGUAAACGAUGCAGGCUAGGUGUUGCGCGGCCACGUGCCAGCUCAGUGCCACAGGGAAGCCAUUAUUCCUGCCGCCUGGCGGAGUACCGUCGCAAGGCUGAAGACUUAAACGCAAUCUGGCAGGGAGAGCAGCGAUCAGGCGUGAUGCCUGCG